AAUGGAUUACUACGUAUAAAACGCAUUUCGGCAUCAUUUGAUCCAAAAAUUAAUUAAGUCCUGUAUGGAGUGGUGAAACGCGUCAAGUGCAAAAUUCGCUGAAACACUUUGAAACGAAUGAGAGAUGGUUUUGUUAAUGAAAAUGGAGAAAUAAUUAUAUAUUCAAAUUGACAAGGCAUAAUAAUUACCAGUGCUAAGCGAGCAAUUAUCCAGAGCCUUUUUGCUCGACCACUCAACUCUUUUAUGCUGCCUUUCAACAGAUGAAGACAUAGUUUUAAUUGGAGUCGUUUCGAAGAAUGCAAAGAGUCUCUUAAUUAAAAAUUUCAACUUUUGAUGUACUGCAAAGUGAAAGAUGUCUAAUAUCAGUAUUUUUAAAACACUUCAAUAUAUCACAUAGAAAAAAUUGACUAUGAAAGUUUUUUUUAAUAAAAGCGACAUAUCCAACAUUACGUCUUCAUCAGUACCAAACUACCGGUUCUAUCAUUUGUCUCUAAUCAUCCUCCAGCUGAUAAUUUCAUUUAAAAGUUUCUUUCCAGUGCGUGUGUAUAUAAAGGGCAUUUCCAAUAUCUGCACUAAGUCUAGUUCUACGCAUAUUUUCAUAAUGCCUAGAAAUUAAAUAGAAAAUCUCAGCGCCUUGAAUUAAAAUGUUCUAUUAAAAUAGUCCUUAGAGUGUUUUUUGUUGAAUCUAAUUUUUAUAAUUACAAAUAUUUCUCUUUACCAAUUAUAAAUUAUUAUUUAUCAUUUUUCAUUGAUAGAAAAUGAACAAUUAAACAUUGUUAAAUUAAUUAAAUUAAACAACACAUUAAAGUUAUAUUUAUAACAAAAUCAUUAAACAAUCAACUAGAGCUUGAGUGCAACUGGCUCGAUCUUUGAAAAAAUUAAUGUUUGUGCUGUGAUAAAAUGUUUGUCGAGUGCGGGGAUCGAACCCGCAACCGCCGGCGCGUCAGCCACAAACCAGUACUGUGGCCGUUGCACCAAUGCGUCGUAUAUACAAUUUACAAAUUAUUUUAUAAAGCUAUUUUGCUAAAGUUUUCAUCAUUCCUUAAAUUCAUAAUAUCAUUUCAUCAAACCUUAAUAUUCCGGCACUUGUGAGUUAAUUAUAUAUACAGAUGUAUUUUAUUUAUAUGUAAUUUAUUUUAUUUAUAUGUAUUAUGUACUCGUAUAAGUAUAAUUACUUUUACAAAAAAUUUGUAUCUGUAACAGCCGGCUGUUACUGAAACACAGGCAUUAUGUUGCCUGCGUUAGGAACAGACAACCAUGUAUUUAUGCUUAAAAUAAACCUUAAAAGGCUUUCUAGAGAAAUCGUUCAUGGUGCUAACGUUUCUAACUCAUAUGUUAAUAAAGAAAUAAAAAUAAAAUCUAAAACUCUCUACUUUCUCUGAUAUCUUAUUUUUUAAUACGAUUUAAAUUUCGUUUUAUUUUUAUUUUAAAUGUGCGAAAAACUUUCUUACGUUUUCACGUGAAAAUAUGUUACAGUAACUAUGAUAUGAAAAGGAUCCACAUUCUUUUAACGGAGAUUCCCAGACAAAGUAUUGUAAUAUUUUACCUCUAUUAUUAAAUUUCGUUCCACUCAAAUAACAAAAUUAUUUAAAUUCCAUUUUCGUACAAGACUUCAGAAUAUUUAAAACAUCCCAGCAUGAAAUGACUAGACAUCAAUGAAUACUAGACAAAAAUAUAUUACCAUAGCAAUGAAUAACAUUUAUUGCAUGAUAUUUUUAAGAACUCAAAAAACAAUUAGCGUAAAAGGACGCUUAGUCACAUAAGAAAAGAUAUCUUGAUAUAAACGUCCAGUUAAAAUAAAAUAUUAUCUCAUACGAAACUUCCCUACCUUUACAUGCCAGAUUUCAUGUCUCGCUUAUCAGUACAAAGUUAGUUCGCUGCCAAAAUUUACCGACUAGUUGGUACGCAUUACUUAUUCCAAUGAAACUGCAACAAUUUAAAAAUACUAUCGUCAUAAAUAUGAACAUUAUAUUACGAUCCAUAACGGCUCGCAAAAUUAAUUUUUCUUCGGGAAUAUUUUCAGGUGAAAUUAUUUAUUUAAAUGAACUCCAAUAUUUGGUCGAGAGGUGGUCGCUUAAACUCACGAAAGAUAGUUUAUUUUACAGUUUCUGUAAUAAAAUCUACUUUUUAUGAGUACUGAGCGAUAAUGACUGGUUUUAAGCAAAUGACCACGAAAUAUUUGCUGUAACGAUAACAUAAAGACUAAAAUAAUGUUUUUUAAUAAAUAUUACUUGAACACAAUAGGAAUAAUGUAUUAAAUUGUUCGUAAAAUGAUCAUAAUAACGAGACAGAUUUAAGACAGGGUUUAAUUAAGUAUGCCGUAUAAAUACAUUCGAAACCGAAUAGAACCUCAAAGCCGCUUUCGUAAUGCAGUGUCAAAGUAAGUCCCCCUCUCCUCGGAAACCUUCAAAUGUAGCUCACGAAAUACGACGUUUUUCAAGCAGCAAAAUGUAAACAUUUCGCUAAAGUUACCAGUGGCAGGUAUAAUUUAAUUUCAUUUGGGGGGGAAGAGACAGGUUGAUUAUAAAUUUAAUUUAUGAGAGGACUGACAGGACGGGACCUGCUUGUUAUUCGUGGAGCGUGCAAUUUAUCGACUGUUGUCUGACGAGCGGUGACAUGUUUGUCCGUUUAACGUUUUUGGAAGCAGGCUUGAGCACACACUACCGAGACACAUUAUGUACCCACAUUAUGCUUUACGUACUACCGAUAUUAUUCAAACUUAAUUUUAUCUAACGUUCACACUGUUAUCUUUAGUUAAUUAAAUUACUUAAUAGUAGAAGGUAGGCCUUCGCCUCAAAAAUGUUAGGAAAAACUGGUGAGGUGCUAAAUUAAAUUUUCCUGAUUUUUACAACACCUGAAUUACGUAUGUAUGUAUGUAAGUUGGCGCAACGGUUACAGCGAUGGAUUGUACCUGUUGCGCUGGCGGUUGCGGGUUCGAUCCCCGCACAUGACAAACAUUUGUAUUGGCCAUACAGGUGUUUACCGUGAUCUGGGUGUUUGUGUAGUCCUUGUGGGUCACCCCACCGUGCCUCGGAGAGCACGUUAAGCCGUCGGUCCCGGUUGUUAUCAUGUACACCUGAUAGCGAUCGUUACUCAUAGUAGGGAAUAUGUCCGCCAACCCGUGGAGCAGCGUGGUGGAUAUUGUAAGCUCUGAUCCUUCCCUACAUGCGGAAAAGAGGCCUAUGGCCAUUAGUGGGAUAUUACAGGCUGAACCGUAAGCGUAGGCUUUUGCGAUUUCUCCUAUCGACGAUGAUCACGGUCUCGUGAAGAAGGUGGUAAGUGCCAUCCCAAAGGCGUCGCUUACGCGUUUUGCACAGUAAUGUAUUCUGUCUCAUUCUCUCCUAUACAUUUAUGUGUUUGUUUUUUAUUGUGAAUUGUUUCCGUUUCAUCGAGUUUUAAAUCACAACGAUUCUACGGAAUUUUAAAAUGAAAAUUAAAAUAUUGUUACAGUAACAUAGCACGUCCUACAUACUAGGCAUU
Molecule: unclassified non-coding RNA, 3480 nt
Filed under: Melitaea cinxia (Glanville fritillary)
Lineage: Eukaryota; Metazoa; Arthropoda; Insecta; Lepidoptera; Nymphalidae
Description: misc RNA ENSMCXG00005021053.1
Source: RNAcentral